AGUUCAGUGGUAGAACGUCAGCUUCCCAAGCUGAAUGUCGACGGUUCGAGUCCGUUC
RNAcentral lists this transfer RNA (57 nucleotides) under Caldilineaceae bacterium SB0670_bin_27. RNAcentral describes it as "tRNA-Gly". It matches the Rfam family "tRNA", at positions 9 to 63 of the family's 71-position model. From Rfam's summary of the family: Transfer RNA (tRNA) molecules are approximately 80 nucleotides in length. Their secondary structure includes four short double-helical elements and three loops (D, anti-codon, and T loops). Further hydrogen bonds mediate the characteristic L-shaped molecular structure. tRNAs have two regions of fundamental functional importance: the anti-codon, which is responsible for specific mRNA codon recognition, and the 3' end, to which the tRNAs corresponding amino acid is attached (by aminoacyl-tRNA synthetases). tRNAs cope with the degeneracy of the genetic code in two manners: having more than one tRNA (with a specific anti-codon) for a particular amino acid; and 'wobble' base-pairing, i.e. permitting non-standard base-pairing at the 3rd anti-codon position. The record is from RNAcentral. Lineage: Bacteria; Bacillati; Chloroflexota; Caldilineae; Caldilineales; Caldilineaceae.